This 466-nucleotide ribosomal RNA is filed under the name uncultured bacterium. Its description in RNAcentral is "partial 16S ribosomal RNA". It matches the Rfam family "Bacterial small subunit ribosomal RNA", at positions 28 to 507 of the family's 1533-position model. The record is from RNAcentral.
GACGAACGCUGGCGGCGUGCUUAACACAUGCAAGUCGUGCGGAAAGGCCCUUUCGUUGGUACACGGGCGGCAGACGGGGGAGUGAGACUUGAGCAAGCUUCCCUUCCCUUUGGGACAACUGCCAGAAACGGUGGCCGAUACCGGAAAUGGCUUACUCACUCAUGCGGGGUGGUGGAAAGCCUUCGGGGGGUGGGGGAUGGGCUCUAGGUGGAUCGGCGUGUUGGUGGGGUGUUGGCCUACCAAGGGUUUGACAGGUAGCCGGCAUGUGAGGGUGACCGGCCACCAUGGGACUGCGACACGGCGCAGACUCGUACGGGAGGCAGCAGUGGGGAAUAUUGCACAAUGGGCGCAAGCCUGAUACAGCAACGCCGCGUGCGGGAUGACGGCCUUUGGGUUGUAAACAUCUUUCGCCUGAGACGAAGCGAGCGUGACGGUAGCAGGUAAAGAAGCACCGGCUAACUACGUG